This is a long non-coding RNA of Cygnus olor (mute swan), 540 nucleotides long. RefSeq lists it as uncharacterized. Lineage: Eukaryota; Metazoa; Chordata; Aves; Anseriformes; Anatidae. The transcript is spliced from 2 exons. The record is from RefSeq and is a predicted model, not a curated record.
GCAGCGGCGGCGUCACAACGGCGUUGGGGCCGCGGCGCCUGCGUGGUGCCGGGUGAGGGGCUGGGCGCCAUCUUGAGCCAGUAACAGUGGGAUGCACACCAGCUCUUGGUGUUGCCUGGCUCCUUCCCGCUACAGUGCAGCUACAGCGGUGCCACGAACAUGGUGUCAGGCUCCAGGAUCGCUUGUUCAGGUAGCAACGGCAGGAGCAGUGCUCGGGGACAGCUGCAAAGCCUGUCUGAGAAGCAGGGCAUGUGAAAGCACUGGCUGCAAUCCAAGCUCCAUGCCACUGUGGCAAGACGUAAACUCACUGCUGAGACAUUAAGCUAAAAGUAUCGCUGUUGAUACAGGGUAGGGAAUGUCUCCAUCUUCCUUUCUGUAAUUCCUGUUGAGGCAAACUGUUGCCUCUCUGGUUUCCAAUCUAUCUAUUUGCAUUUCCCAUGCAAAACUAUGUACAACAAUUUUAUCCAACUCGUAAAUCAGUGGUGUGUUGCCCUUACCAUUUUGCACUGAGCAAAAGGAGAAGAAAUAAAGGAAGGGUAA